This 317-nucleotide ribosomal RNA is filed under the name uncultured eukaryote. RNAcentral's name for it is "partial 18S ribosomal RNA". It matches the Rfam family "Eukaryotic small subunit ribosomal RNA", at positions 1470 to 1796 of the family's 1831-position model. The record is from RNAcentral.
CCCUUAGACGUUCUGGGCCGCACGCGCGCUACACUGACCAGUGCAACAAGCAUCCGUCCUUGGCCGACAGGCCCGGGCAAUCUUUGAACGCUGGUCGUGAUGGGGAUAGACUUUUGCAAUUUUUGGUCUUCAACGAGGAAUUCCUAGUAAACGCAAGUCAUCAACUUGCAUUGAUUACGUCCCUGCCCUUUGUACACACCGCCCGUCGCUCCUACCGAUUUCGAGUGGUUCGGUGAACCUUUCGGACCGGCAAUGCCUCGUGUUGCGCCGGAAAGUCAAGUAAACCAUAUCACUUAGAGGAAGGAGAAGUCGUAACA